UGAGGCAUUGGCAGCUGGCAGCUCCUUGCCUGCUUUUAUUCCCCGUUUCAGGGUACUGCACCUGCCCAGAGAGUGCUGCACCUCAGCACAGACAGCAAGGGAGGGUUUCACAGGCAUCUCUCACACACCCAGUAAAGCUUAAUGUGUGAAGUCUGAAGCUGUGAGCCCCCUCAGAGUGUAGCAGCUCUUCACAUGAAAGGCAGAGGGAUGCUCCUAAAAGAAUCUGACAGGAUCCCUACAUACAUGAGAGAUACAAAGAUACCAUGGUACAUCUGGACAAGAAGCUGACCCUCCUUUAAUUCAUGGUUAAAGUUGCAGAAAUCCAUGGGCGUUCAAGAAAUAUGGGAUUGGAUCCAAAGAAUGAUUUUCUAAAUUAUACCAAUGGAAUAUUCUGUGCAGCUGAACUAAAUAGUCCAGAGUGUCUCCUAUGAAAAUGCAUAACUUGUCAAUUUUUGUGGCAUGAAAGAUACAUGUGCACGUGUGUGUGUGUGCUUGCAUGCACAGGGGAAUGUUAGAAUAGGUUUACAUUAGAGCAUAUUUAAACAGGAAACAUAAGAUAGGUAUUACAACUAAUAAAGUAGUGAAUUUACAUCUA
This is a long non-coding RNA of Parus major (Great Tit), 595 nucleotides long. RefSeq lists it as uncharacterized. The transcript is spliced from 2 exons. Lineage: Eukaryota; Metazoa; Chordata; Aves; Passeriformes; Paridae. The record is from RefSeq and is a predicted model, not a curated record.